Non-coding RNA from Pelobates cultripes (western spadefoot toad), 204 nucleotides. The record is from the annotation of a GenBank genome assembly. Lineage: Eukaryota; Metazoa; Chordata; Amphibia; Anura; Pelobatidae.
GAGAUACUGAAUGUCAGUGAUACACACUGAGCAUCACUGCCCCAGGAAGCACCUCUAGCAGCCAUCUGAGGAGUGGCCAGUGGAGGUAUCCCUAGGCUGUAAUGUAAACACUGCAUUUUCUCUGAAAAGCAAGUUUUUACUGCAAAAUGCCAGAAGGGAAUGAUUAUACUCACCAGAACAAAUACAAUAAGCUGUAGUUGUUCU